RNAcentral lists this ribosomal RNA (468 nucleotides) under uncultured bacterium. Its description in RNAcentral is "partial 16S ribosomal RNA". It matches the Rfam family "Bacterial small subunit ribosomal RNA", at positions 28 to 507 of the family's 1533-position model. The record is from RNAcentral.
GACGAACGCUGGCGGCGUGCUUAACACAUGCAAGUCGAACGGAAAGGCCCUGCUUUUGUGGGGUGCUCGAGUGGCGAACGGGUGAGUAACACGUGAGUAACCUGCCCUUGACUUUGGGAUGACUUCAGGAAACUGGGGCUAAUACCGGAUCGGAGCUCCUGCUGCAUGGUGGGGGUUGGAAAGUUUCGGGGGAUGGGGAUGGGCUGGGGGCUUAUCAGCUUGUUGGUCGGGUAGUGGCUUACCAAGGCUUUGACGGGUCGCCGGCCUGGUAGGGUGACCGGCCCAGUUGGGAUGGAAAUAAGGCCCAGACCCCAACGGGAGGCAAGAGUGGGGAAGAGUGUACUAGGGGCGGAAGGCAGGUGCAGUAACGCAGCGUGGGGGAUGAGGGCCUGCGGGUUGUAAUCCGAUGUCGCCUGUGACGAAGCGUGAGUGACGGUAAUGGGAAAAGAAGCACCGGCUAACUACGUG